GACGAACGCUGGCGGCGUGCCUAAUACAUGCAAGUAGAACGCACAGUUUAUACCGUAGCUUGCUACACCAUAGACUGUGAGUUGCGAACGGGUGAGUAACGCGUAGGUAACCUGCCUGGUAGCGGGGGAUAACUAUUGGAAACGAUAGCUAAUACCGCAUAAUAUUAAUUAUUGCAUGAUAAUUAAUUGAAAGGUGCAAUUGCACCACUACCAGAUGGACCUGCGUUGUAUUAGCUAGUAGGUGAGGUAACGGCUCACCUAGGCGACGAUACAUAGCCGACCUGCGAGGGUGAUCGGCCCCACUGGGCCUGACACACGGCCCAGACUCCUACGGGAGGCAGCAGUAGGGAAUCUUCGGCAAUGGACGCAAGUCUGACCGAGCAACGCCGCGUGAGUGAAGAAGGUUUUCGGAUCGUAAAACUCUGUUGUAAGAGAAGAACGGGUGUGAGAGUGGAAAGUUCACAAUGUGACGGUAUCUUACCAGAAAGGGACGGCUAACUACGUG
This 505-nucleotide ribosomal RNA is filed under the name uncultured bacterium. RNAcentral's name for it is "partial 16S ribosomal RNA". It matches the Rfam family "Bacterial small subunit ribosomal RNA", at positions 28 to 507 of the family's 1533-position model. The record is from RNAcentral.